This 562-nucleotide ribosomal RNA is filed under the name uncultured bacterium. Its description in RNAcentral is "bacterial SSU rRNA". It matches the Rfam family "Bacterial small subunit ribosomal RNA", at positions 77 to 626 of the family's 1533-position model. The record is from RNAcentral.
UGCUUGCACCUUUCAAGUGAGUGGCGAACGGGUGAGUAACACGUGGAUAACCUACCUCAAGGUUGGGGAUAACAUUUGGAAACAGAUGCUAAUACCGAAUAAAACUUAGUAUCGCAUGAUACCAGGUUAAAAGGCGCUACGGCGUCACCUAGAGAUGGAUCCGCGGUGCAUUAGUUAGUUGGUGGGGUAAAGGCUUACCAAGACAAUGAUGCAUAGCCGAGUUGAGAGACUGAUCGGCCACAUUGGGACUGAGACACGGCCCAAACUCCUACGGGAGGCUGCAGUAGGGAAUCUUCCACAAUGGGCGAAAGCCUGAUGGAGCAACGCCGCGUGUGUGAUGAAGGCUUUCGGGUCGUAAAGCACUGUUGUAUGGGAAGAACAGCUAGAGUAGGGAAUGACUUUAGUUUGACGGUACCAUACCAGAAAGGGACGGCUAAAUACGUGCCAGCAGCCGCGGUAAUACGUAUGUCCCGAGCGUUAUCCGGAUUUAUUGGGCGUAAAGCGAGCGCAGACGGUUAAUUAAGUCUGAUGUGAAAGCCCGGAGCUAACUCCGGAAAGGCAU